RNAcentral lists this transfer RNA (75 nucleotides) under Clavibacter michiganensis. RNAcentral's name for it is "tRNA-Thr". It matches the Rfam family "tRNA". From Rfam's summary of the family: Transfer RNA (tRNA) molecules are approximately 80 nucleotides in length. Their secondary structure includes four short double-helical elements and three loops (D, anti-codon, and T loops). RNAcentral also lists the same sequence under 11 other names. Lineage: Bacteria; Bacillati; Actinomycetota; Actinomycetes; Micrococcales; Microbacteriaceae. The record is from RNAcentral.
GCCCCCAUAGCUCAUUGGUAGAGCACUUCCUUGGUAAGGAAGAGGUAGUGAGUUCAAUCCUCACUGGGGGCUCGA